RNAcentral lists this long non-coding RNA (740 nucleotides) under Carica papaya (papaya). RNAcentral describes it as "long non-coding RNA (CPAP_LNC015785)". The record is from RNAcentral. Lineage: Eukaryota; Viridiplantae; Streptophyta; Magnoliopsida; Brassicales; Caricaceae.
GUUUGUACAUAUAUAGAUAUAGAUCGUACAUUAGAUUUUAGAGGCUUUAAUUAAAUUUAAAACAUAAUACAUAUUUUACAAAACAUUAAAACUUGUAGGCAGCUGCCAAGUAAGGAAUGAUGAAGGAGGAAGUUAAGAGAUAGCGGGUCGGGUGGGUUCGGAUGAGAUGAGAUGGGAUUAAGUGACGGCUGACGCGUAUCUGAAUAUUAACAGGUCAAACCCACUCCACCAAUCACAUACAUAAUGCUCACACCAAUCUUAUCCGAUGAUCACUCAGAUCAGGGAUAAAAAUCAAGGGUCACGAAACCACCGCGAUUAUAAAGGAUCCGGCGAACAAAUUGAAUAGCGUGACGUCAUCAUGAUUUGGUCUCCCGCCAUAUCUCACUGCGAGGAAAGAGUAACAAAAGGGUAAAUUUUAUUUCAACCCGACACGUGUCAGUUACGGCAUCCUAAAUUGGACAAUUCACCGUUACCGUUCACUUGCCCGUUCUGUUUCUUUUUUAUUUUUUAUUUUUUUUUUAAUUUCUAAAAAUAAGAAAUUCAUCUCGCUAUUUCUCUAUUUUCUCGCGUUUCCCUUUACUUUCUCUUCAACUCGGUCGACAGACCCACCCCUUCUCUUCGGAUCGAAUUACCCUCGCCAGAGAAAGCAAGAAAACAGCACAAACAAAUCGAUAUUGCUCGAGGCAGGAAAUUGGAGAGGAGAGGAAAGGAAAGGAAAGGAAAGGAAAGGGAUUGUUGAG